CGCAGUAUAUUAACUGUGCAAAGGUAGCAUAAUCAUUAGUCUUUUAAUUGAAGGCUGGAAUGAAUGGUUGAAUGAAAUAUUAACUGUUUCAAAUAAAUUAAUAAUAGAAUUUUAUUUUUUAGUUAAAAAGCUAAAAUUUUUUUAAAAGACGAGAAGACCCUAUAAAUCUUUAUAUUUUAAUUUAUGUUUGUUAUAUGGAUGAUUUAGAUUUUUAUAAAUUAAAAUAUUUUAUUGGGGUGAUAUUAAAAUUUAAUAAACUUUUAAUAAAUAAUAACAAAAAUUAUUGAAUAAUUGAUCCAUAAAUAAUGAUUAAGAAAUUAAGUUACUUUAGGGAUAACAGCGUAAUUUUUUU
RNAcentral lists this ribosomal RNA (352 nucleotides) under Melaloncha hirtipecta. RNAcentral describes it as "partial 16S ribosomal RNA". The record is from RNAcentral. Lineage: Eukaryota; Metazoa; Arthropoda; Insecta; Diptera; Phoridae.